RNAcentral lists this non-coding RNA (30 nucleotides) under Mus musculus (house mouse). The record is from RNAcentral. Lineage: Eukaryota; Metazoa; Chordata; Mammalia; Rodentia; Muridae.
GGACUCUUGAGAGAAUUCAAGCAUUUGUAA